Molecule: ribosomal RNA, 301 nt
Filed under: uncultured bacterium
Lineage: Bacteria
Description: partial 16S ribosomal RNA
Rfam family: Bacterial small subunit ribosomal RNA
Source: RNAcentral
CAGUCGCCGCGGUAAUACGUAGGUGGCAAGCGUUGUCCGGAAUGAUUGGGCGUAAAGGGCGCGCAGGCGGCUGUGUAAGUCUGUCUAGAAAGUGCGGGGCUAAACCCCGUGAGAGGAUGGAAACUGGACAGCUGAGAGUGUCGGAGAGGAAAGCGGAAUUCCUAGUGUAGCGGUGAAAUGCGUAGAUAUUAGGAGGAACACCGGUGGCGAAAGCGGCUUUCUGGACGACAACUGACGCUGAGGCGCGAAAGCCAGGGGAGCAAACGGGAUUAGAUACCCCGGUAGUCCCUGUCUCUUAUAC